UAUCUCAAUUUUAGACUCCACCUUCUUUGUUCUCUCUCUCUCCUGACUCUCAAAAACCCAGACCCCGAACACUGAAAUCCAGAUAUCAACUCCUUCGUCAUCCGGAUCCAUCUCCUUUACCAGCUCAAAUCCCGCUCCAUUCCUUCUUAAUCGCAAGCCCAAAACCUCAAUACCCAAACAAUAACCCUAACACCUCAGUCCCAUAUAUCUCCCAUCUCGUAUUUCUUUAGAAUUUUGCUUUAUCAAUUCAUGUUCUCUGUUUGUAGAUUUGAAGGCUUGGUUAAUUGAGGUCUGACCCCAUUUCAUGACAGAUUACCUGAGAAGUGGAUCAAAUCUUGGUUUGCAAAUCCCCAAUCUGAGCAUGACUUUUACUUUUGAGUUGUUUACUAGUUGAUUUAUUAUAUCUUGGUUUGGUACUUUGUGCAUUUUGAUUUACAUUUGCGAUGGAUUUCAGGGAAUUUGAGCUUAAUUUUUGUCAAAUUGCAGUUUCGAACUAUGAUUCUGUCAAGGAAUUCGAUGGGCUCCAGGUUCAGGCAAUUUUCAGGUUGUAGAGAUUUUGAUUUUGGGUAUAUUUGGUUUUGGGUAUACCAUAUUUUAAGGUAAUUUUGUCCCAUUCUGUAUCAGUAUUGACUUUGCAAAAUCUUGGGCUGGAGGAAAUCGUGUAGCGCUGUAAAUGCUUGUAAGUUGCUGUGGAUUAUGAAUUGGAAAUGAACCGUAAAUGUUGUGUGGUUGCAUGAUGAACAACUUGAGCUGGAGAUGGGUAUUGUGUAAGGUUUGGUUUCUAUUGCUUCUGCACUAGAAAACCAAUUGUUGUCAAUAGGCCUUAAGUUAUGAAGUUGGGUUUAUCUCGUUACCCUUAUUACAAUUUAUAUGGUUAUGCUAAUGGUGGCUUUAUUAUGUUGAUAAUUUGUCUAAUCUCCCAUAUAACAUGUAUAUCAUUUUAUUGAAAUUUGCUGAUCAUAUUGUUCUUGAUGCAUGUACAAAAUCAUUGAAUAUAAACUCUAUUUUGAUGAUGGAUUUUCUUUUAAUUGGUUCCAGGUUUCAUUUCCUAUUUACUGCAGAUUUCAAAAUUCUCUGGGCUGCAUUUGAUUUGGGAAACCCCAAAUGAUUAGUUUUUGGGAGAUGAUAACGAUGAUAACGAUCAAAUGAUUAGUUUUUGUUAUUCAUCUGAGACGUUGUUGUUGUUGCAUGUUGUUGUUGUUAUGGUAGAUGUGUAACAUGCUGGAAGGCUUGAUAAUCUAUGCAGCAAAAGAAUUUGUUUUCUCAGGAAGGCUUGAUAAUCUCUACAUACUCAAUCAAUCUGGUAGCAGGUGCAGCAAAAGAACAUUUCGAUUUCUUCCUCUGUCAAGAUUCUAUUGUAGGCUUGGAGUUAAGAUCAAGUCAUCAAACACCGUAUUGGAAACACGGAGAGGGUUGGCCUUUUGCACAGUUUGUCCAACUUUUCAUUUAAAUUUUGAUACUCUUUGGAUGUAGUUGAUAUGAAUAAUAACAUUUACUGAAUAUAUUGAGGUUGUAGUGAAAAUAUUGAUUCUCAAUUAGCUUGUUAUUCAUAUCAGUAUUGUUUCUAUGGUGAUAUGUAUCUGUAA
Long non-coding RNA from Rosa rugosa (rugosa rose), 1586 nucleotides. RefSeq lists it as uncharacterized. Lineage: Eukaryota; Viridiplantae; Streptophyta; Magnoliopsida; Rosales; Rosaceae. The record is from RefSeq and is a predicted model, not a curated record. The transcript has 3 exons.